GGGUCAGUAGGUUGGUCGUGCCACCGGUACGUACUGGUCUCACUGAUUCCUCCUUCCUGAAGAACCGUAAUGCCAUUAAUUUGGUGUUGCGGGGAAACAGGACUGUUACUUUGAAAAAAUUAGAGUGUUUAAAGCAAGCUAACGCUUGAAUACAUUAGCAUGGAAUAAUGAAAUAGGACGAUCGAUCCUAUUUUGUCGGUCUCUAGGAUUGACGUAAUGAUUAAUAGGGAUGGG
This 234-nucleotide ribosomal RNA is filed under the name Glomeromycotina sp. RNAcentral's name for it is "partial small subunit ribosomal RNA". The stretch from base 40 to 234 matches the Rfam family "Eukaryotic small subunit ribosomal RNA", at positions 686 to 882 of the family's 1831-position model. Lineage: Eukaryota; Fungi; Glomeromycota. The record is from RNAcentral.